CACGCCACGGUAAUACGUAUGUCACAAGCGUUAUCCGGAUUUAUUGGGCGUAAAGCGCGUCUAGGUGGUUAUGUAAGUCUGAUAUGAAAAUGCAGGGCUCAACUCUGUAUUGCGUUGGAAACUGUGUAACUAGAGUACUGGAGAGGUAAGCGGAACUACAAGUGUAGAGGUGAAAUUCGUAGAUAUUUGUAGGAAUGCCGAUGGGGAAGCCAGCUUACUGGACAGAUACUGACGCUGAAGCGCGAAAGCGUGGGUAGCAAACAGGAUUAGAUACCCCUGUAGUCCCUGUCUCUUAUACACA
This 301-nucleotide ribosomal RNA is filed under the name uncultured bacterium. Its description in RNAcentral is "partial 16S ribosomal RNA". It matches the Rfam family "Bacterial small subunit ribosomal RNA", at positions 509 to 810 of the family's 1533-position model. The record is from RNAcentral.